AUUGAACGCUGGCGGCAGGCCUAACACAUGCAAGUCGAGCGGAUGAAGGGGGCUUGCUCCUGGAUUCAGCGGCGGACGGGUGAGUAAUGCCUAGGAAUCUGCCUGGUAGUGGGGGAUAACGUCCGGAAACGGGCGCUAAUACCGCAUACGUCCUGAGGGAGAAAGUGGGGGAUCUUCGGACCUCACGCUAUCAGAUGAGCCUAGGUCGGAUUAGCUAGUUGGUGGGGUAAAGGCCUACCAAGGCGACGAUCCGUAACUGGUCUGAGAGGAUGAUCAGUCACACUGGAACUGAGACACGGUCCAGACUCCUACGGGAGGCAGCAGUGGGGAAUAUUGGACAAUGGGCGAAAGCCUGAUCCAGCCAUGCCGCGUGUGCGAAGAAGGUCUUCGGAUUGUAAAGCACUUUAAGUUGGGAGGAAGGGCAGUAAGUUAAUACCUUGCUGUUUUGACGUUACCAACAGAAUAAGCACCGGCUAACUUCGUG
This 484-nucleotide ribosomal RNA is filed under the name uncultured bacterium. RNAcentral's name for it is "partial 16S ribosomal RNA". It matches the Rfam family "Bacterial small subunit ribosomal RNA", at positions 30 to 507 of the family's 1533-position model. The record is from RNAcentral.